Molecule: ribosomal RNA, 425 nt
Filed under: uncultured bacterium
Lineage: Bacteria
Description: bacterial SSU rRNA
Rfam family: Bacterial small subunit ribosomal RNA
Source: RNAcentral
GUGGGGAAUAUUGGACAAUGGGGGCAACCCUGAUCCAGCCAUGCCGCGUGAGUGAUGAAGGCCUUAGGGUUGUAAAGCUCUUUCGGCGGGGACGAUAAUGACGGUACCCGCAGAAGAAGCCCCGGCUAACUUCGUGCCAGCAGCCGCGGUAAUACGAAGGGGGCUAGCGUUGCUCGGAAUCACUGGGCGUAAAGCGCACGUAGGCGGAUCUUUAAGUCAGGGGUGAAAUCCCAAGGCUCAACCUUGGAACUGCCUUUGAUACUGGGGAUCUCGAGUCCGGAAGAGGUGAGUGGAACUGCGAGUGUAGAGGUGAAAUUCGUAGAUAUUCGCAAGAACACCAGUGGCGAAGGCGGCUCACUGGUCCGGUACUGACGCUGAGGUGCGAAAGCGUGGGGAGCAAACAGGAUUAGAAACCCCGGUAGUCC